UUCAAUAUCUAGGGUAGGGAUCACAUAUACACCUUGAUACUGUUUUCUAAUUUGCCAACUAAAUAUUGGUGUAAAACUGAAUGAAAACAGUAUGUACAGUGAAGGUUGAGGGGAAUAAAAGCAUUCCCACAAAGCAAGCUGUCACACUUGCCAUUUAAAAGAAGCUUCGAUGUCAAGGAAUGCAAUGGUAACUGCAGCUACUGUUCAUCAGGUGCUAUCAACAGAAAUUAGCAGUUAUUGCUUCUCUGAGACAUUUGCAUUUCAGCUUCACAAAGGGAUGCGCGGUGUGGUCCUGUUGUAGCUAGUUGUGACAAUUUUUUCAUUUUUCUUUUUGGGCUGCAAAACUUGAUGGUCAUGGCAUGGGGUCCCGCACACAACUAAGCUUUUUUCAAUUCCUGCCCCAUCCGGCCACACCCUUCAAGCACACUUCAUUUGCUCCUUUUGUUAUAAAUGUGUGACAAUGGACUGUCAGAAAUUUGCAGAUGGGUGACCCAGAAUUCUCCAUUUUAAGCUCGCUCUCUCUCUCUCUCUCUCUCCCUUCCUGAUCUUUCUUUCUGAUCUUUCUCUCCUUGCUGGGCGAGCUAUGAGGGUUAUAGCAUGAGAAGGUGUGUGCUGAGCAAGAUGGAGAAGCAGGGCACGUGCAUUACUAACUCAUGCGUUCAGUUCACUGAGGCCAACGCAUUAAUUUCUAGCUUUCAGCUAGCAGUUCACUCACUACUCACUACUACUACCUUCGGGAAUUAGCUAAGCUGCAGUGAGUUAGUUUUUCAUGUGCCCCUCUUCCCCAUCAUGACCACUGCACCUUGACCUUGUGUACUUUGAAGAGGAUUAAUCUGGGUGGUUAUCAUCAAAAUAAACAAUAGAGAAAGCUCUUAUCUCCUUGUUUUGAUUCUAAACAGUCACAGCAAGCAGCUAAAAUCGACCGGAAAAGAGCCCGAUGUUCAUCAGGACCUAAAUUGCAGGAGUAUAACCUCAAGGAGGGGAGGGCUGAUGUCUCUAGCAGCCAGCAAGCUACUUCGCAGUAAAAACUUUUCCUUAGACGAUGUUUUGGAACAAGACGUGUGGCACCAAAUGCUUUUUAAAAUGCUUUAUUUUAAACGUUUCUUCCAAAGGCAAGCAAGAAAUUGCAUCCAACAAACAUUUCAGUAUUUUAUAAUAGGCAAACCACUUCAACUUCCAGCUGCAA
Theobroma cacao (cacao) is the source of this 1186-nucleotide long non-coding RNA. RefSeq lists it as uncharacterized. The record is from RefSeq and is a predicted model, not a curated record. NCBI's taxonomy places the organism in Eukaryota, Viridiplantae, Streptophyta, Magnoliopsida, Malvales, Malvaceae.